GUGGGUGUAGCUCAGUUGGUUAGAGUGCCUGGUUGUGGCCCAGGAGGUCGCCGGUUCAAAUCCGGUCACUCACCCCA
This 77-nucleotide transfer RNA is filed under the name Deltaproteobacteria bacterium. RNAcentral describes it as "tRNA-His". It matches the Rfam family "tRNA". From Rfam's summary of the family: Transfer RNA (tRNA) molecules are approximately 80 nucleotides in length. Their secondary structure includes four short double-helical elements and three loops (D, anti-codon, and T loops). Further hydrogen bonds mediate the characteristic L-shaped molecular structure. tRNAs have two regions of fundamental functional importance: the anti-codon, which is responsible for specific mRNA codon recognition, and the 3' end, to which the tRNAs corresponding amino acid is attached (by aminoacyl-tRNA synthetases). tRNAs cope with the degeneracy of the genetic code in two manners: having more than one tRNA (with a specific anti-codon) for a particular amino acid; and 'wobble' base-pairing, i.e. permitting non-standard base-pairing at the 3rd anti-codon position. The record is from RNAcentral. Lineage: Bacteria; Pseudomonadati; Myxococcota; Myxococcia. RNAcentral also lists the same sequence under 1 other name.